GAUGAACGCUGGCGGCGUGCCUAAUACAUGCAAGUCGAGCGAACGGACGAGAAGCUUGCUUCUCUGAUGUUAGCGGCGGACGGGUGAGUAACACGUGGAUAACCUACCUAUAAGACUGGGAUAACUUCGGGAAACCGGAGCUAAUACCGGAUAAUAUUUUGAACCGCAUGGUUCAAAAGUGAAAGACGGUCUUGCUGUCACUUAUAGAUGGAUCCGCGCUGCAUUAGCUAGUUGGUAAGGUAACGGCUUACCAAGGCAACGAUGCAUAGCCGACCUGAGAGGGUGAUCGGCCACACUGGAACUGAGACACGGUCCAGACUCCUACGGGAGGCAGCAGUAGGGAAUCUUCCGCAAUGGGCGAAAGCCUGACGGAGCAACGCCGCGUGAGUGAUGAAGGUCUUCGGAUCGUGAAACUCUGUUAUUAGGGAAGAACAUAUGUGUAAGUAACUGUGCACAUCUUGACGGUACCUAAUCAGAAAGCCACGGCUAACUACGUGCCAGCAGCCGCGGUAAUACGUAGGUGGCAAGCGUUAUCCGGAAUUAUUGGGCGUAAAGCGCGCGUAGGCGGUUUUUUAAGUCUGAUGUGAAAGCCCACGGCUCAACCGUGGAGGGUCAUUGGAAACUGGAAAACUUGAGUGCAGAAGAGGAAAGUGGAAUUCCAUGUGUAGCGGUGAAAUGCGCAGAGAUAUGGAGGAACACCAGUGGCGAAGGCGACUUUCUGGUCUGUAACUGACGCUGAUGUGCGAAAGCGUGGGGAUCAAACAGGAUUAGAUACCCUGGUAGUCCACGCCGUAAACGAUGAGUGCUAAGUGUUAGGGGGUUUCCGCCCCUUAGUGCUGCAGCUAACGCAUUAAGCACUCCGCCUGGGGAGUACGACCGCAAGGUUGAAACUCAAAGGAAUUGACGGGGACCCGCACAAGCGGUGGAGCAUGUGGUUUAAUUCGAAGCAACGCGAAGAACCUUACCAAAUCUUGACAUCCUUUGACAACUCUAGAGAUAGAGCUUUCCCCUUCGGGGGACAAAGUGACAGGUGGUGCAUGGUUGUCGUCAGCUCGUGUCGUGAGAUGUUGGGUUAAGUCCCGCAACGAGCGCAACCCUUAAGCUUAGUUGCCAUCAUUAAGUUGGGCACUCUAAGUUGACUGCCGGUGACAAACCGGAGGAAGGUGGGGAUGACGUCAAAUCAUCAUGCCCCUUAUGAUUUGGGCUACACACGUGCUACAAUGGACAAUACAAAGGGCAGCGAAACCGCGAGGUCAAGCAAAUCCCAUAAAGUUGUUCUCAGUUCGGAUUGUAGUCUGCAACUCGACUACAUGAAGCUGGAAUCGCUAGUAAUCGUAGAUCAGCAUGCUACGGUGAAUACGUUCCCGGGUCU
Molecule: ribosomal RNA, 1372 nt
Filed under: uncultured bacterium
Lineage: Bacteria
Description: bacterial SSU rRNA
Rfam family: Bacterial small subunit ribosomal RNA
Source: RNAcentral